This is a long non-coding RNA of Homarus americanus (American lobster), 721 nucleotides long. RefSeq lists it as uncharacterized. The transcript has 4 exons. NCBI's taxonomy places the organism in Eukaryota, Metazoa, Arthropoda, Malacostraca, Decapoda, Nephropidae. The record is from RefSeq and is a predicted model, not a curated record.
UACUUUCUGCUGAAGGAUAGAGUGAUGGCUGGUCAUCAAGUUGUUCUCUCCAAACAUCAAGUACCGAGCUUCAGUGCCCUGCCAGUGUUCAGCAGGCAACACCACUAGACAAGCCAUAUUUCCCUAUUGCCAUGAGACUACUCAGAGUGGUGUCAGUAUUGAUACAGAAAUAUUAUCCUUUGUUGGUUACUCAAUGUGAAAUAUUUUUGUCAUUGAUGGUGAAAUUUUUGGAUGGUGACCGGCCAAUGGCAAGCGUGGCCUUGCUUUGGAGGUGCUUCAUAAAUUGGCUACAACCUAGCUAUUGCAGUCUUUCUGUACCAACUAUGACAUGAAACCUCAUGCUACAAGAUAUUCCAGGAUAUAGUAAACAGCUUGGGUGCAUUUGUGCAGUCACUUUUCAUAUCACCACAAUCAAGUGUUGCUGCUCAGUUGGGAGGUGGCAGUCAGAGUGGGGCACAGGGUCAGCCUCCCGCAUUGUUGGCUGGCAUGCCGUGGGUCGAGUGUCUCCCACAGCCAGCAUUCUUCUAUAGGGGUGUUUACCUUCCCUGUGUAAACAUUCCCACAGGACAAGCAAAGUCUUCAUAUUUAGAGAUGCUGGACAAGCUUGAACCUCCAACAAUACCUGAUGGUUAUGGCGUGAGUGUUGCCUAUUACUGCCUUCUUGACAUCAUCGAUCCAUACACUUGGUCAUGAUGGGUCCACAAGCCUCCAGUGAUAGUGC